AGGAGCCGAGUGCUUAGAAAUUUGCAAGCUCGGUACUGUGGAGGGGAAAACCCGUAAGGGUUUACCUAUUCCGGC
This 75-nucleotide non-coding RNA is filed under the name Chamaesiphon minutus PCC 6605. Lineage: Bacteria; Bacillati; Cyanobacteriota; Cyanophyceae; Gomontiellales; Chamaesiphonaceae. The record is from RNAcentral.